This 246-nucleotide ribosomal RNA is filed under the name Escherichia coli. RNAcentral's name for it is "partial 23S ribosomal RNA". It matches the Rfam family "Bacterial large subunit ribosomal RNA", at positions 1134 to 1378 of the family's 2925-position model. Lineage: Bacteria; Pseudomonadati; Pseudomonadota; Gammaproteobacteria; Enterobacterales; Enterobacteriaceae. The record is from RNAcentral.
GUAAUAGCUCACUGGUCGAGUCGGCCUGCGCGGAAGAUGUAACGGGGCUAAACCAUGCACCGAAGCUGCGGCAGCGACGCUGAUGCGUUGUUGGGUAGGGGAGCGUUCUGUAAGCCUGCGAAGGUGUACUGUGAGGUAUGCUGGAGGUAUCAGAAGUGCGAAUGCUGACAUAAGUAACGAUAAAGCGGGUGAAAAGCCCGCUCGCCGGAAGACCAAGGGUUCCUGUCCAACGUUAAUCGGGGCAGG